UUACGGUCAUAUCACGUUGCAACACCGGCUCCUGUACGAUCACCGAAGUUAAGCAACUUGGAAGGUAAGCGAGCCUGGUAAGUACCUUGAUGGGUGACCGCUUGGAGAUUCUUAGGGCUGG
Molecule: non-coding RNA, 121 nt
Organism: Acanthosepion pharaonis
Lineage: Eukaryota; Metazoa; Mollusca; Cephalopoda; Sepiida; Sepiidae
Source: the annotation of a GenBank genome assembly